AGCAGCCGCGGUAAUUCCAGCUCCAAUAGCGUAUAUUAAAGUUGUUGCAGUUAAAAAGCUCGUAGUUGAAUUUCGGGAUCAGUACGCUGGUCAUGCCUUUGGUAUGCACUGGUGUCACUGGUUUCUCCCUUCUGAAGAUCCGUGAUGUCAUUAAUUUGGUGUCGCGGGGAAUCAGGACUGUUACUUUAGAAAAAUUAGAGUGUUUAAAGCAGGCUCACGCUUGAAUACAUUAGCAUGGAAUAAUGAAAUAGGACGUUUGACCCUAUUUUGUUGGUUUCUAGGAUCGACGUAAUGAUUAAUAGGGAUAGUUGGGGGCAUUAGUAUUCAAUUGUCAGAGGUGAAAUUCUUGGAUUUAUUGAAGACUAAACUACUGCGAAAGCUAUUUGCCAAGGAUGUUUUACAUUUAAUCAAAGAACGAAAGUUAGGGGGAUCGAAGACGAUCAGAUACCGUCGUAGUCUUAACC
This 464-nucleotide ribosomal RNA is filed under the name uncultured Glomus. RNAcentral describes it as "SSU rRNA". It matches the Rfam family "Eukaryotic small subunit ribosomal RNA", at positions 569 to 1031 of the family's 1831-position model. Lineage: Eukaryota; Fungi; Glomeromycota; Glomeromycetes; Glomerales; Glomeraceae. The record is from RNAcentral.